Molecule: long non-coding RNA, 220 nt
Organism: Mauremys reevesii (Reeves's turtle)
Lineage: Eukaryota; Metazoa; Chordata; Testudines; Geoemydidae
Exons: 3
Source: RefSeq, a predicted model, not a curated record
GUACUUCUAAAAGGCCUGAGUCUCAUCAAGUCUUGGUGAGGCAGGCCAGGAUGGAAACCAGCAAAUGCAGGCCGUGAGCACCUCAGCAGCAGCAUGGACUCCGAAGGGUCACUCCUGGAGAAAUGGAUCUCUGUGAGGCUCUUGCUGUGGGAAAGAGCAGCCUGGAGAACAGUUGAAGCUUUUAAACUUGUAGAUUUCCCCAAUAGCCAUUUUAGACAUG